Molecule: ribosomal RNA, 566 nt
Filed under: uncultured bacterium
Lineage: Bacteria
Description: partial 16S ribosomal RNA
Rfam family: Bacterial small subunit ribosomal RNA
Source: RNAcentral
UGGGGAAUUUUGGACAAUGGGCGAAAGCCUGAUCCAGCAAUGCCGCGUGUGUGAAGAAGGCCUUCGGGUUGUAAAGCACUUUUGUCCGGAAAGAAAUCCUUGGCUCUAAUACAGUCGGGGGAUGACGGUACCGGAAGAAUAAGCACCGGCUAACUACGUGCCAGCAGCCGCGGUAAUACGUAGGGUGCAAGCGUUAAUCGGAAUUACUGGGCGUAAAGCGUGCGCAGGCGGUUUGCUAAGACCGAUGUGAAAUCCCCGGGCUCAACCUGGGAACUGCAUUGGUGACUGGCAGGCUAGAGUAUGGCAGAGGGGGGUAGAAUUCCACGUGUAGCAGUGAAAUGCGUAGAGAUGUGGAGGAAUACCGAUGGCGAAGGCAGCCCCCUGGGCCAAUACUGACGCUCAUGCACGAAAGCGUGGGGAGCAAACAGGAUUAGAUACCCUGGUAGUCCACGCCCUAAAACGAUGUCAACUAGUUGUUGGGGAUUCAUUUCCUUAGUAACGUAGCUAACGCGUGAAGUUGACCGCCUGGGGAGUACGGUCGCAAGAUUAAAACUUAAAUGAAUUGA